UGGCGAACGGCUGAGUAAUGCGAAGGUAACCUACCUUCAGUGGGGAAUAUCUCCGAGAAAUCGGAGCCAAUACCGCAUAUCGUCAUCACACGCGAGUGUGAUGAUGAAAGCCUUCGGGCGCUGGAGGAUGGGCCUUCGUCCCAUCAGGCAGUUGGCAGGGUAACGGCCUACCAAACCUGAGACGGGUAGCUGGUCUGAGAGGAUGGUCAGCCAGAUGGGGACUGAGAUACGGCCCCAACUCCUACGGGAGGCAGCAGCAAGGGAUAUUGCGCAAUGGACGAAAGUCUGACGCAGCGACGCCGCGUGAGGGAUGAAGGCCUUCGGGUCGUAAACCUCUUUUAUUGGUGAAGAGUAAGGACGGUAACCAAUGAAUAAGCCUCGGCUAACUACGUGCCAGCAGCCGCGGUAAUACGUAGGAGGCGAGCGUUAUCCGGAUUUACUGGGCGUAAAGCGCGUGUAGGCGGCUUUUUAAGUUGGCAGUGAAAGGUUCCGGCUCAACUGGGAUUUGCCUGUCAAUACUGGGGAGCUUGAGGGCACCAGAGGAAAGUGGAACUCGCGGUGUAGCGGUGAAAUGUG
This 576-nucleotide ribosomal RNA is filed under the name uncultured bacterium. Its description in RNAcentral is "bacterial SSU rRNA". It matches the Rfam family "Bacterial small subunit ribosomal RNA", at positions 96 to 690 of the family's 1533-position model. The record is from RNAcentral.